RNAcentral lists this long non-coding RNA (1679 nucleotides) under Homo sapiens (human). RNAcentral's name for it is "PREDICTED lncRNA (TCONS_00189799)". Lineage: Eukaryota; Metazoa; Chordata; Mammalia; Primates; Hominidae. The record is from RNAcentral.
CGCAGCGCCGCUUCCAAGUCGCGCACCGCUCGCUCGUAGUCUCCGCUGUAGUAGGCGGCCGCGCCGCUGGCGUAGAGCAGGUCGAAGGGCUGCAGAGGCCCGGGCUCCAGCUCCAGCUCCCGGCGUGGGCUGUCCGGGGGGCCGCCCCACAGUGGCGGCGGCAGUAGCAGCGGCAGCAGCAGCAGCAGCGGCGGCGCCCAGAUGCGCUCCCGCAUCCUCCGCCUCAGAGAGGCGCGGGACGGUUACGCUCGAGAGGGCUUCGGGGCACCUCGCGUCCGGGUCCCCUCUCCCACCUUCCCUCGGGGAAGCGCGCCGACUCCGCCGCGAUCUGGCCGCUCCGCGAGCCCCAGGUGACCGCCGGCGCUCCGCGUACUGAGAGGCGGAGGCCGUGCCUGGCCAGCCGCUCUUAAAGGGACGCCCACAGCUCACACGCUCCUCCUGCUGCCUGAGACUCCGAGAGCCGCUCUCCCAGGCUCCCCGCUGCAGCGGCGGGGCUGCCAGGGGCGGCACACUCCAGCGCCAGCCAGAGAGCUAGCGCCGCUUGAGGCCGGCCGGGGACGAGGCGCUUUACACUGCCUGAUGGGUACUAGCAGCCCACCCCAGCCAGAUGGAGGACAAGGCCUCUCCAAGUCUCAAGGAAAUGCACAAUCCUUCCUUACCUCUGGCCUCAGAACUCUCAGCAUCUCAUUGAUUAGCAACCUCAUCUGUGGCAAAUCUAAGGAACACCUUCUACUUAAAAUUGAAGUCUUCUGGGCUGGGUGUGGUGGCUCAUUCCUGUAAUCCCAGCACUUUGGGAGGCCAAGGAGUGCGGAUCACGAAGUCAGGAGUUCGAGACCAGCCUGGCCAACAUAGUGGAACCCUGUCUCUACUAAAAAUACAAAAAUUAGCCGGGUGUGGUGGCACAUGCCUGUAGUCCCAGCUACUCGGGAGGCUGAGGCCUCUGAGCCCAAGCUAAGCCAUCAUAUCCCCUGUGACCUGCACGUACACAUCCAGAUGGCCGGUUCCUGCCUUAACUGAUGACAUUCCACCACAAAAGAAGUGAAAAUGGUCUGUUCCUGCCUUAACUGAUGACAUUGUCUUGUGAAAUUCCUUCUCCUGGCUCAUCCUGGCUCAAAAGCUCCCCCACUGAGUACCUUGUGAUCCCCACUCCUGCCCACCAGAAAACAACCCCCUUUGAGGACAUGCAUGAAAUUUGGUGCCGUGACUCAGAUCGUGACCUCCCUUGGGAGGUCCUCCUGUUCUUUGCUCCUUGAGAAAGAUCCACCUAUGGUCCUCAGACCGACCAGCCCAAGAAACAUCUCACCAAUUUCAAAUCUGACAGGAAUAUCAGGCCUGUGAGCCCAAGCUAAGCCAUCAUAUCCCCUGUGACCUGCACGUACACAUCCAGAUGGCCGGUUCCUGCCUUAACUGAUGACAUUCCACCACAAAAGAAGUGAAAAUGGCCUGUUCCUCCCUUAACUGAUGACAUUGUCUUGUGAAAUUCCUUCUCCUGGCCCAUCCUGGCUCAAAAGCUCCCCCACUGAAUACCUUGUGACCCCCACUCCUGCCCACCAGAGAACAAUCCCCUUUGACUGUAAUUUUCCUUUAUCUACCCAAAUCCCAUAAAACAGCCCCACCCCUAUCUCCCUUUGCUGACUCUCUUUUCGGACUCAGCCCGCCUGCACCCAGGUGAUUAAAAG